This 403-nucleotide ribosomal RNA is filed under the name uncultured bacterium. RNAcentral describes it as "partial 16S ribosomal RNA". It matches the Rfam family "Bacterial small subunit ribosomal RNA", at positions 30 to 526 of the family's 1533-position model. The record is from RNAcentral.
AUUGAACGCUGGCGGCAGGCCUAACACAUGCAAGUCGGGCCAGCGGCGGAAGGGUGAGUAAAGUAUGGGGACUGCCCGAUAGAGGGGGAUAACUACAGGAAACGGUAGCUAAUCCCGCAUACUAUCGGAAAACCCAUAUGGGAUUAGAUAGUAGGUGAGGUAAUGGCUCACCUAGGCGACGAUCCCUAGCUGGUCUGAGAGGAUGAUCAGCCACACUGUGACUGAGACACGGCCCAGACGCCUACGGAGGCAGCAGGAGGGAAUAUUGCACAAUGGGCGCUAGCCUGAUGCAGCCAUGCCGCGUGUAUGAAGAGGGCCCUAGGGUUGUAAAGUACGUUCAGUCGGGAGGCGUUACCGACAGAAGAAGCACCGGCUAACUCGGUGCCAGCAGCCGCGGUAAUAC